CCUACGGGAGGCAGCAGUAGGGAAUAUUGGGCAAUGGAGGCAACUCUGACCCAGCCAUGCCGCGUGCAGGAAGAAGGCGUUAUGCGUUGUAAACUGCUUUUAUAUAGGAAGAAAUAGACCUUGCGAGGUAAGUUGACGGUACUAUAUGAAUAAGCACCGGCUAACUCCGUGCCAGCAGCCGCGGUAAUACGGAGGGUGCAAGCGUUGUCCGGAUUUAUUGGGUUUAAAGGGUGCGUAGGCGGUUUAUUAAGUCAGUGGUGAAAGACGGUCGCUCAACGAUUGCAGUGCCAUUGAUACUGGUAGACUUGAGUGGGAUUGAGGUAGCUGGAAUGGAUAGUGUAGCGGUGAAAUGCAUAGAUAUUAUCCAGAACACCAAUUGCGUAGGCAAGUUACUAAGUCUCAACUGACGCUGAGGCACGAAAGUGUGGGUAUCAAACAGGAUUAGAUACCCUGGUAGUCCACACUGUAAACGAUGAUAACUAACUGUUGGCUUUCGGGUCAGUGGUACAGAGAAAUCGUUAAGUUAUCCACCUGGGGAGUACGCCGGCAACGGUGAAACGUCAAAUGAAUUGACGGCUGAGAGNGCGAGCGACGACGAGGGAGGAGG
This 607-nucleotide ribosomal RNA is filed under the name uncultured bacterium. RNAcentral describes it as "bacterial SSU rRNA". It matches the Rfam family "Bacterial small subunit ribosomal RNA", at positions 338 to 947 of the family's 1533-position model. The record is from RNAcentral.